Molecule: ribosomal RNA, 433 nt
Filed under: uncultured bacterium
Lineage: Bacteria
Description: partial 16S ribosomal RNA
Rfam family: Bacterial small subunit ribosomal RNA
Source: RNAcentral
AACGAACGCUGGCGACAUGCCUAACACAUGCAAGUCGAACGAGACCUUCGGGUCUAGUGGCGCACGGGUGCGUAACGCGUGGGAACCUGCCCUUAGGUUCGGAAUAACUCCCCGAAAGGGGUGCUAAUACCGGAUAAUGUCUUCGGACCAAAGAUUUAUCGCCUUUGGAUGGGCCCGCGUUGGAUUAGCUAGUUGGUAGGGUAAAAGCCUACCAAGGCGACGAUCCAUAGCUGGUCUGAGAGGAUGAUCAGCCACACUGGGACUGAGACACGGCCCAGACUCCUACGGGAGGCAGCAGUGGGGAAUAUUGGACAAUGGGCGAAAGCCUGAUCCAGCAAUGCCGCGUGAGUGAUGAAGGCCUUAGGGUUGUAAAGCGCUUUUACCCGGGAUGAUAAUGACAGUACCGGGAGAAUAAGCUCCGGCUAACUCCGUG